RNAcentral lists this ribosomal RNA (253 nucleotides) under uncultured bacterium. RNAcentral describes it as "partial 16S ribosomal RNA". It matches the Rfam family "Bacterial small subunit ribosomal RNA", at positions 524 to 776 of the family's 1533-position model. The record is from RNAcentral.
GACGAACCGUGCGAACGUUAUUCGGAAUCACUGGGCUUAAAGGGCGCGUAGGCGGGCUCCCAAGUCAGGGGUGAAAUCCCACGGCUCAACCGUGGAAGUGCCUCUGAUACUGGGGGCCUCGAGGGGUGCAGGGGCGUGCGGAACUCAGGGUGGAGCGGUGAAAUGCGUAGAUAUCCUGAGGAACACCGGUGGCGAAAGCGGCGCGCUGGACACCUUCUGACGCUGAGGCGCGAAAGCCAGGGGAGCAAACGGG